This 496-nucleotide ribosomal RNA is filed under the name uncultured bacterium. RNAcentral's name for it is "bacterial SSU rRNA". It matches the Rfam family "Bacterial small subunit ribosomal RNA", at positions 29 to 518 of the family's 1533-position model. The record is from RNAcentral.
AUGAACGCUAGCGACAGGCCUAACACAUGCAAGUCGAGGGGCAGCACAAGGAGCAAUCUGAGGUGGCGACCGGCGCACGGGCGAGUAACACGUAUGCAACCUGCCUGUAAGCGGGGAAUAACCCGUUGAAAGACGGACUAAUACCGCAUAAUACUAAAUUACUGCAUGGUAAUUUAUUUAAACAUUUAUGGCUUACAGAUGGGCAUGCGCAUGAUUAGCUAGUUGGAGAGGUAACGGCUCCCCAAGGCAACGAUCAUUAGGGGUUCUGAGAGGAAGGUCCCCCACACUGGUACUGAGACACGGACCAGACUCCUACGGGAGGCAGCAGUGAGGAAUAUUGGUCAAUGGACGAGAGUCUGAACCAGCCAAGUCGCGUGCAGGAAGAAUGUCCUUAAUGGAUUGUAAACUGCUUUUGCAGGGGAAUAAAGUGCAUCACGUGUGAUGUUUUGUAUGUACUCUGCGAAUAAGGAUCGGCUAACUCCGUGCCAGCAGCAGC